UAGUAUUACUCACUAUUAUGU
This 21-nucleotide non-coding RNA is filed under the name Caenorhabditis elegans. Lineage: Eukaryota; Metazoa; Nematoda; Chromadorea; Rhabditida; Rhabditidae. The record is from RNAcentral.